This 399-nucleotide ribosomal RNA is filed under the name uncultured bacterium. Its description in RNAcentral is "bacterial SSU rRNA". It matches the Rfam family "Bacterial small subunit ribosomal RNA", at positions 64 to 507 of the family's 1533-position model. The record is from RNAcentral.
GAGCGGCCGUAGCAAUACGGCAGCGGCAGACGGGAGAGUAACACGUGGGAACGCGCCCUUCGGUUCGGAAUAACUCAGGGAAACUUGGGCUAAUACCGAAUACGCCCUUACGGGGAAAGAUUUAUUGCCGAAGGAACGGCCCGCGUCCGAUUAGCUUGUUGGUGAGGUAACGGCUCACCAAGGCGACGAUCGGUAGCUGGUCUGAGAGGAUGACCAGCCCCACUGGGACUGAGACACGGCCCAGACUCCUACGGGAGGCAGCAGUGGGGAAUAUUGGACAAUGGGCGCAAGCCUGAUCCAGCCAUGCCGCGUGGGUGAUGAAGGCCCUAGGGUUGUAAAGCCCUUUCGGCGGGGAAGAUAAUGACGGUACCCGCAGAAGAAGCCCCGGCUAACUUCGUG